UCACUGCACCCCGCCUAAAAGUGCCUUAAUUUUAAAAGAAAUACAGGUUUUAUUUGAUAUAUGUUUAGUAUAUUCUUAGGAUAUUUUUUUAACCAGUAAGAACCCCUAGCAACUAUCCCCCAAGAUAUAGAAUUUAUAACCCUAUGUGAUGACUGUAUGUUUUGAACCAAAACCAAGUAUGAUGAAUGGCUACCAGCUCAGAGGCCCUGGAGACACAAGGAAGCCUCACUGGUGAGAGGUGACUGCCUGUGGGCCGCACAGUUUCCUGGAAAGGCAGUGAGAGCAUCUGGUACCUCCAGACACUGCAGAAACAGUGUCACAGAAACAUCUCAGAGGAGUCACUUCUCUUUAUCAAGAUUUUAAAGUGAUUUCAACAUUAAAAAAAACAACAACAAUGUAAAGAAUUUGAGUGUGGAGUGAUGAUCAUGCUUCCAGGCCAGCAAACUGCCAGUGUGAAGGAUGCCCAGGUAACCUGCCCAUGCCAGAACGGCCAGGAGAUGGUGGAACCAGAAUCUAAGCCCAUGCCCGUCUGACUUCAAAGUCUGUGCUCCUGAUGUUUGCACUGAGUCACCUCCUAAGACUUGCUGAAACUGGAUCACAUCCAUUUACCUAUCUUUGAGAGAAAUGGAAGCUUUAAAAAAGGAAAUAUUUACUAUGGAUAUUUUACAAUAGUUCCAAAACAUGAAAGUUUUAAAUAAGAUAUUCUUAACCAUCCUCACCACAUCUUCAGGUUUCCUUACAGCUACUGUGUUUUGAUGAUUGCCCAUUAGAAAAAAAGACUAUGCUUUCUGUAGGUUUUAAAGGAAUGGUGGUGAAAUAGGGAGCAUUCCCUGAGCAGAUCCUGCCUGCGGCCACAGCUCUGAGCAUUGGACCAGGCGAGAAGAGCCCAUGUGUUGGCUGCUUUGGGAUCCCAGCACUGCCAAUGGCAGGUGUGCUAUGACCCAGGGAGAGAACCUAGCCUUUUGCAUUCUGUUGCCCCAUUUGAAAAUGGAGACGAUAGUGGUGCCCCGCUCAGUGUUAUUUUGAGGAUUCGAAUGUAUCUCAGACGUAGUACCUGAAAAAAUAUAAGUGCUCAGUAAAUACGGUUGCCAGAUAAAAUGCAGGAAACCUAUUUAAGUUUUGGCUGGACGAUGAAUAGAAUAAUUUUUCUUAGUAUGAGUAUGUCCUUAUAUUUUAUCUGCUAAAUUUAGCAACCUCCUCAGUAAAUGAUCACUACAAUUGCAAAAACUCCUUAUGACAGAUAUAGUAAAUUUGUGAAGAAAUAGGAACUUGCAUUUAUUUUUACUGAGCUCUGACUGGUUAAGAUAACUGGGCAAGAGAAGACAUCUUUGACUAAACUUGCAGCGUAUAGAGUACAGAGAUUCAAAUUUGAAGUCCUAUAGGACUAGAAUGGCCAGAGGUGAACUGUAGUGAGCUUAUCUAAAGAGUCCCAAUUUCAAAAGUUCCUCAGAGACUUAAAUGGGCCCACAGACCCCUCCUGUGUCUUUGCAUAAGUCAGCUCGUUAUAUCAGUUAUAAAUUGAUUUCCAGAGAAAAUGUACCCUGGAGGUCCCUCUCCCCCUUGAAAUAGGACUGGCCAAUCCAGAUGUCCCCCAGGUGAUGUUGGCUCAAAUAUAGCUCCAUAAAUUGGAGAAUCUGUUCAAGAAAACAAGCAAAAGUAUUCGUGACUGAGUUAGCUAAUGCCAGCUGGUAUCUUGAACAAACCCAGAUCUCUAACAUGCUAGUUUAUUUCGUAGUGUAAAAUGUGUGUUACUGAUGGGCAGACAGCUCUCAUUCAAGCAGUGACAGAUGCAAGCUCUUCCCAUUUUUGUGGCCCCAUUGUAUUCAGUGUGUGGCUUCCAAGGUGCCUGGGAUCAUCUCCACCGAGACUAAGGAAGAGGAAAGAGCUUAGACAACUGCACUUGGCUGGUUUUUAUGGAUCCGGCAAGGAAUUGGCUCCAACACAUUAGCUCACAUUCCAUUGGUUAGAACUGGGUUUCUCAACUAUUAGUACAGGGUGAGUGUAGGGUUUUGGCACCAUGGGCAUUUGAGCUGGCCAAAGGCUAAUCAGGGUUAGAACAAAGCCACAAAGCCUGUGAAUGGUGUUUAUUGUUGUGAGGGGCUGUCUUGUGCAUUGUGGAAUGUUCAGCAGGAUGCUCUCUGGCCUCAGAGACUCACUAGAUUCCCAUAGAACUCUCCUCUCUCCUCCAGUUGUGACAGCCACAGUUGCCUCCUCUCCAGAUAUUGCUAGAUGUCCCCGGGAGGCAAAAUUGUCCUGGUUGAGAACCACUGUGUUAGAACUCGGUCACAUGGCCACACCUAACUGCAAGGGAGGCUGGAAGAUCUAGACGAGUAGUAUGCCAAGAAGAAAAUAGAACUGAUAUAAGAGGCUGCUGGCCAGUUGCUUUCAGUGACUUUCAGCAUACUGAUUCCUCUGCAGCUGUCGGGACACUCAUGCCUGUUUCUGAGAUGUUUCCUGUGUGAGGGGACAUAGUGACAAUUGGAGGGGUGACAUGUUGGACUUGGGUAGGGUGAAGAGGAUUGGAAACCACCAUCAUGUUUGGCAGCGUUGAGUGUUUGUGACUAUUUGAAUAGUUGUGACAAGGGUACAGUAAAGGAGGAAAUAACCAUUUUUGAAUACCCUUUUACAAUUUGCAAAGCACUUUUAAAGGUAAGAGUGAGUUCCUAGACCAUAUUAGGGUGAGAAUGGACAUUGUUGGCUGCCAUAUCAUUGGACAGGGGCUUUGAGAUUUUUGUCUUCAAAAGGCAGAUUAGAUUUGGAGUAGAAGGAGAAAUGUAAAGACCUGGUAUCUGAGUGUGUUUGCAGAGGGGAAUUGUCAUUUGGAAGCACAAGAAAGGGGAUGGCCCAUUGGCACAUAUGGUACAUUGUGUUUUCAUAUAAUUAUACCUGAAUGAAA
Nomascus leucogenys (northern white-cheeked gibbon) is the source of this 2896-nucleotide long non-coding RNA. RefSeq lists it as uncharacterized. The record is from RefSeq and is a predicted model, not a curated record. Lineage: Eukaryota; Metazoa; Chordata; Mammalia; Primates; Hylobatidae. The transcript is spliced from 2 exons.